RNAcentral lists this long non-coding RNA (1116 nucleotides) under Cyanistes caeruleus (blue tit). RNAcentral's name for it is "lncRNA (ENSCCEG00000015588.1)". Lineage: Eukaryota; Metazoa; Chordata; Aves; Passeriformes; Paridae. The record is from RNAcentral.
CCCGGAACAAGAGGCCGCCUUGUCCCCAGAGUCAUGCAGAAGGCACACGGUGACUCACACCCUCGUAAUCCCUUUGCUGGGUUUCCCCUCACUCCACAGGAAAGGAACUUUUUUCUCCUUCUAUUCUUGGCGCAGCCCAUGGUCCCAGCCAUGCUUGUCCCAUAGCUGUGGAGUGUGUUGGAGUGUGACUGCAGUGAAACCCACAGGUCAGGGUGUUUAGCAGCCAAGGAAGGACAAGAGCACCAAGAGGCUCACUAAGUGACCAUCAAAAUCUUCAGACCAUUGCAAUAGGGCUUGUGCAGAGGGUUACUGCAGACCCCCACAGGCUUCUGUGUCAUGUGGAUCCAGCUGCCCGAGAUGCUGAGGGAAAGCACAUAGCAUCACUUGCAUUCCCAAAUGUGCUUAGCAGCUACCAAGCCUCGCCAGAGGCCUGGCCAGCCAGCCCCAUGUGGGUGAUAGCCCUGAGGACCACCAGCACCCUGAACUCAGAGUAUCAGAUCAAGACAAACUGCACAUGAUGUGGUCGAGAUCUGGCGUAGCAUCCCCCAAGCUGGCACUUCUAUCUGAAGACCUCAACAGCAAAAACGGAGGACUAGCUGUACUGAGGACAAGCAGACAUCAUAGGGAACUUUUCCUAACACAAUACCUGUUGUUUGACUCAGUUGCUCUGUGACCAGUAACAUCUCCCUUGUUUUCAUGGCUGACAGACAAAAGAGCAGCAGCUCCAAAGAUUUCUCAAGGCGAUUUUUUUCAGACUAAGCAGGACACAGGACCCAAGUAAUCAUCCUCAGAGGUUUACAUCAUCCUCUGGUGUCUUGCCCAUCAAAAUAGAGCCUGCUUCAAAGAAAUGACAUAGCCCCCUCGAUGGCAAAGUGCAUGCACUGGGAGAGAGCUCUUGGAUUUCUGACUGCUUCAAAGCACACGUCCUUGACACAGAAAGUUUCAAGCUUACCAGAAGUUCUUCAACUAUUUUUUGUUUCAUUUUCCCAGUGCCCACCAGAUUAGAACACAGCUUGGCAAUGUCACUAGAAGAAAGAGAGAGAAGAAAAUGACAAAAAAAACAGCAGCCAGUGUUUCAACUACAAACACUGUUCGAAGAGUUUGUGAAACAUGCCA